This 76-nucleotide transfer RNA is filed under the name Bdellovibrio sp. RNAcentral describes it as "tRNA-His". It matches the Rfam family "tRNA". From Rfam's summary of the family: Transfer RNA (tRNA) molecules are approximately 80 nucleotides in length. Their secondary structure includes four short double-helical elements and three loops (D, anti-codon, and T loops). RNAcentral also lists the same sequence under 2 other names. The record is from RNAcentral. Lineage: Bacteria; Pseudomonadati; Bdellovibrionota; Bdellovibrionia; Bdellovibrionales; Pseudobdellovibrionaceae.
GUGGCCAUAGCUCAGUUGGUAGAGCAUGGGAUUGUGAUUCCCAGGGUCGCGGGUUCAAGCCCCGUUGGUCACCCCA